Molecule: ribosomal RNA, 446 nt
Filed under: uncultured bacterium
Lineage: Bacteria
Description: partial 16S ribosomal RNA
Rfam family: Bacterial small subunit ribosomal RNA
Source: RNAcentral
AACGAACGCUGGCGGCAGGCUUAACACAUGCAAGUCGAACGCUCCGCAAGGGGAGUGGCAGACGGGUGAGUAACGCGUGGGAACGUGCCCUAAGGUAUGGAAUAACUUCGGGAAACUGAAGCUAACACCAUAUGUGACCGAGAGGUGAAAGUUUAUCGCCUUAGGAUCGGCCCGCGUCAGAUUAGCGAGUUGGUGGGGUAAUGGCCUACCAAGGCGACGAUCUGUAGCUGUUCUGAGAGGAAGAUCAGCCACACUGGGACUGAGACACGGCCCAGACUCCUACGGGAGGCAGCAGUGGGGAAUCUUGGACAAUGGGCGCAAGCCUGAUCCAGCCAUGCCGCGUGGAUGAUGAAGGCCCUAGGGUUGUAAAAUCCUCUCGUUGGGGACGAUAAUGACGGUACCCAAAGAAGAAGCUCCGGCUAACUUCGUGCCAGCCGCCGCCGUAA